Molecule: ribosomal RNA, 515 nt
Filed under: uncultured bacterium
Lineage: Bacteria
Description: partial 16S ribosomal RNA
Rfam family: Bacterial small subunit ribosomal RNA
Source: RNAcentral
GAUGAACGCUGGCGGCGUGCCUAAUACAUGCAAGUCGAGCGAAUGGAUUAAGAGCUCGCUCUUAUGAAGUUAGCGGCGGACGGGUGAGUAACACGUGGGUAACCUGCCCAUAAGACUGGGAUAACUUCGGGAAACCGGGGCUAAUACCGGAUAACAUUUUGAACCGCAUGGUUCGAAAUUGAAAGGCGGCUUCGGCUGUCACUUAUGGAUGGACCCGCGUCGCAUUAGCUAGUUGGUGAGGUAACGGCUCACCAAGGCAACGAUGCGUAGCCGACCUGAGAGGGUGAUCGGCCACACUGGGACUGAGACACGGCCCAGACUCCUACGGGAGGCAGCAGUAGGGAAUCUUCCGCAAUGGACGAAAGUCUGACGGAGCAACGCCGCGUGAGUGAUGAAGGCUUUCGGGUCGUAAAACUCUGUUGUUAGGGAAGAACAAGUGCUAGUUGAAUAAGCUGGCACCUUGACGGUACCUAACCAGAAAGCCACGGCUAACUACGUGCCAGCAGCCGCUGUAA